This 235-nucleotide ribosomal RNA is filed under the name uncultured bacterium. Its description in RNAcentral is "partial 16S ribosomal RNA". It matches the Rfam family "Bacterial small subunit ribosomal RNA", at positions 118 to 351 of the family's 1533-position model. The record is from RNAcentral.
UGAGGAACAUGACCUUCGGCGGGGGAUAGCCGGCCCAACGGCCGGGUAAUACCGCGUACGACCACUCGGGGACAUCCCCAGGUGGUGAAAGCAGCAAUACGCCGAUGGAGUGCCUCGCGGCCUAUCAGCUAGUUGGUGAGGUAACGGCUCACCAAGGCGACGACGGGUAGCCGGCCUGAGAGGGUGACCGGCCACACUGGGACUGAGACACGGCCCGGACUCCUAUGGGAGGCAG